RNAcentral lists this long non-coding RNA (977 nucleotides) under Dunaliella salina. Its description in RNAcentral is "long non-coding RNA (DSAL_LNC000302)". The record is from RNAcentral. Lineage: Eukaryota; Viridiplantae; Chlorophyta; Chlorophyceae; Chlamydomonadales; Dunaliellaceae.
GCCCAGCCACAUUUUGUAAAGUGUGUACAGUAAGGAGUGGGCGAACAGGCUAUACUGAGUGUAAAGCGACAUGAGCUCGUGCUCCUGAGCGCGGGUCUCCAUGUCCCUCGCAAACUGCCCAGCUCGCAUCACAGCGCUCAUCCAUUGGGCAGCAGGUACCUAGAGUGUGUGUGUGUGUGUGUGUGUGUGUGUGUGUGUGUGUGUGUGUGUGUGUGUGUGUGUGUGUGUGUGUGUGUGUGUGUGUGUGUGUGUGUGUGUGUGUGUGUGUGUGCGUGCGUGCGCGCGCGCGCUCGAGCAUAUUUAUCGUAUUCGAUUGGACUCAGCACACCCGCCAUAUAAAUCAAUUAGUUUUGCAAUCAAACAUCAACAUUCAAUCGGACUCACAUCUCCAUAUAAAUCAAUCAGUUUUGCAACCAAACAUCAACAGCGCAGCCUAUAAGUGAUUAGUUUACACAACCACGCAAGGGCAAUCUUGACUAUUUCUACCCCCUUGCUGGCCACUUAUACAACCGCGAAUCCUUGGAAUAAGUGUUCAUUUAAUGUGCACGGUGUUACUGCACAGGGCAAAAAACAAAAACUAGUUGCGGUGAAGUAAAUUUUGUACGGUAUUCAGAUGGCAUGCACACAUGAGCAGAUGCACAGAGAGGAGCUGAGGUCAGCCAGGGAUAUGGUGCAAAUUUUUUUGUGCCAUGAUACGGUCCCGUGUUCGACUCAAGAAACAGGCUGGCAAGCUCCAGAAAAAGAAAAAAUGCUAAACACUCAACAAAGAAUCACCACUUGUUGCUGGUGCUGGCCCUGCUGCUGCCCAUAAUUUUUUAGUUUACACAAUCAAUCAAGAAAGCCCCCUACACAGAACACAGAGACAGUGUACCAACCCUCACCUCAUGCCCAAUCUGGUAAGUGGCGAAGUGCAGCGGGAAGUGGCGAUGUGAUUCCAGGGCCUCAAAACGCAGAUUGAGGAAGACGGCAUCUGCAAC